Molecule: long non-coding RNA, 336 nt
Organism: Saccostrea cuccullata (small rock oyster)
Lineage: Eukaryota; Metazoa; Mollusca; Bivalvia; Ostreida; Ostreidae
Exons: 5
Source: RefSeq, a predicted model, not a curated record
UUGUAGGCGGUUGGGAUUGGUAUCGUGGGAUUUGUAUCCUGGACGCUGUCAUCGCUUCCCAAUAACACAGAGUUCCUCUCCGUAGCCUUCGCGUUUUUGUACAUCAUCUUGUUCCUGGGUCUCGUCAUUGCAGCCACAGGUUUAUUAGGAUGUCUUGGGGGAAUGUCCCGGAGUAUCUGUCUACUCAAAUGUUACUCUGGAUUUAUGGUGGCUUUCAUUUUCAUUGAGGUUGCCAUAGCGAUUGGUGCGUACACACAGCAGGAUCAGAUCCCUUCAUUAAUCACUUCUACAUGGCCAAAGCUGAACAAUGACACUAAGUUUACUCUACAGGCGGGG